Molecule: transfer RNA, 77 nt
Filed under: Prevotellaceae bacterium HUN156
Lineage: Bacteria; Pseudomonadati; Bacteroidota; Bacteroidia; Bacteroidales; Prevotellaceae
Also listed under: 2 other names
Description: tRNA_Asn_GTT
Rfam family: tRNA
About the family: Transfer RNA (tRNA) molecules are approximately 80 nucleotides in length. Their secondary structure includes four short double-helical elements and three loops (D, anti-codon, and T loops).
Source: RNAcentral
GCUUCAGUAGCUCAGUUGGUUAGAGCACCUGACUGUUAAUCAGGGGGUCGUUGGUUCAAGCCCAUCCUGAAGCGCGA